Molecule: ribosomal RNA, 254 nt
Filed under: uncultured bacterium
Lineage: Bacteria
Description: partial 16S ribosomal RNA
Rfam family: Bacterial small subunit ribosomal RNA
Source: RNAcentral
UACGUAGGGUGCGAGCGUUGUCCGGAUUUAUUGGGCGUAAAGGGCUCGUAGGCGGCGUGUCGCGUCGGGAGUGAAAGCCCGUUGCUUAACGGCGGGUUGGCUUUCGGUACGGGCAUGCUGGAGUGCGGCAGGGGAGACUGGAAUUCCUGGUGUAGCGGUGGAAUGCGCAGAUAUCAGGAGGAACACCGGUGGCGAAGGCGGGUCUCUGGGCCGUUACUGACGCUGGAGGAGCGAAAGCGUGGGGAGCGAACAGG